AUGGAUAUGGAACACGAAAUAUCAAAAAAAUUAGGUUUACUUCCUACUCAUGGAGAUGGGGAACCUCCUAAAACCCUCGAUGCUCAUUAUGUGAAAGAUAUUAUGUACUACUUUGAUAAUCCUGAGAAAACCCCAUUCAACUUUAUAAUGGGAGUAAUGUUGGAUCAACGUGAAUACUUUAGGGAUUAUCGCUUGACUCAAAAAGGGAAACUAUUAUGGGAUCAAAUUUAUAUGUUGCAUUGGUAUGCUCGGCAGCUAUGCUUGAGAUAUAAUUAUACUUGUUGCUCUAGGAUGAAGGCUCCACACCUUCCCUUUUCACGUGAAUUUAAUGAUGAUGAAACAUUGGCUUCUUAUGCUAAUGGUAUAUAUGAUUAUUAUGAUGUGGAACAAAUAGAAAAAUUCAUUGCUUUUAUGGGUGCUUAUGAAAUUGAAUCUUUGUUUAAAGAGUUUGAAGAUUUUGAUGAUUCAGUUUAUAGACCCGAAAAUUUAGCUAUCCUUAAAUAUUGCUAUGAGAAUAAUAAAUACAAUUAUGAUAUUGAUGAAUUUUUUGAGAAAGUCUCCGCUGUCCGAGAAGAGACUAAUAUUGUGCAGGAGUCUAUGGAAGAAGAAAUUGAUGAAACUGUGAGCUCAUUGGAUGAAAAAUAUGAUGAGGAGAGCGAAGAACAAAAGGAGGAAAAGCGGAUUAUCUACCCAUGCCCACCUUCUAAUGAGUGUAACUCUUCAACUCAUACAUUGUCUAAUUUCCCUUUGUGCUUACUGAAGGAUGAUUGCUAUGAUGAUUGUUAUGAUCCCGUUGAUUCUUUUGAAAUAUCACUUUUUGAUGAUGCUUGCUAUGCUUGUGGCCAAGAUGCCAAUAUGAAUUAUGCUUAUGGAGAUGAACUUGCUAUAGUUCCUUAUGUUAAAAAUGAAAUUGUUGCUAUUGCACCCACGCAUGAUAGUCCUAUUGUCUUUUUGAAUUCUCCCGGCUACACUAUAUCGGAGAAGUUUGCCCUUAUUAAGGAUUGUAUUUAUGGGUUGCGUUUCACUACUACACAUGAUGAUUAUGAUAGAUAUAAUAUGCAUGUGCUUGCUGCUCCUACUUGCAAUUAUUAUGAGAGAGGAACUACAUCUCCGCCUCUCUAG
This 1122-nucleotide ribosomal RNA is filed under the name Triticum aestivum (bread wheat). Its description in RNAcentral is "partial small subunit ribosomal RNA". The record is from RNAcentral. Lineage: Eukaryota; Viridiplantae; Streptophyta; Magnoliopsida; Poales; Poaceae.